Molecule: ribosomal RNA, 1456 nt
Filed under: Fusarium oxysporum f. sp. medicaginis
Lineage: Eukaryota; Fungi; Ascomycota; Sordariomycetes; Hypocreales; Nectriaceae
Description: partial small subunit ribosomal RNA
Rfam family: Bacterial small subunit ribosomal RNA (bases 407-1332)
Source: RNAcentral
CAGCAGUGAGGAAUAUUGGUCAAUGGCCUAACGGCUGAACUGGCAACUUGCAGCAGUGAGGAAUAUUGGUCAAUGGCCUAACGGCUGAACUGGCAACUUGGAGAAGUGGCAAGUCUUCCAGUAUGGGGAGCAAAACAGCUAUGGGUCAAGGAGAAGUGGCAAGUCUUCCAGUAUGGGGAGCAAAACAGCUAUGGGUCAAGUCCGAUAUCUUUAGGAGAAGUCUUAUUGUGAGGGCGAGUUAUCCGAUAUCUUUAGGAGAAGUCUUAUUGUGAGGGCGAGUUAUAUAACACCAUAGGACUGGCCGUCCCAUAUGAAAAGAUUAUAUUAGAAUUUAUAACACCAUAGGACUGGCCGUCCCAUAUGAAAAGAUUAUAUUAGAAUUGAAUGAAGCUUUGUUUAUAUAUUGAUAAUGACAGUAUAUAUAUCGUGUCUGAAUGAAGCUUUGUUUAUAUAUUGAUAAUGACAGUAUAUAUAUCGUGUCUUGACUAAUUGCGUGCCAGCAGUCGCGGUAAUACGUAAGAGACUAGUGUUAUGACUAAUUGCGUGCCAGCAGUCGCGGUAAUACGUAAGAGACUAGUGUUAUUCAUCUUAAUUAGGUUUAAAGGGUACCCAGACGGUCAAUAUAGCUUAUAUUCAUCUUAAUUAGGUUUAAAGGGUACCCAGACGGUCAAUAUAGCUUAUAAAAUGUUAGUACUUGACUAGAGUUUUAUGUAAGAGGGCAGUACUUGAGGAAAAUGUUAGUACUUGACUAGAGUUUUAUGUAAGAGGGCAGUACUUGAGGAGGAGAGAUGAAAUUUCGUGAUACCAAAGGGACUCUGUAAAGGCGAAGGCAGGAGAGAUGAAAUUUCGUGAUACCAAAGGGACUCUGUAAAGGCGAAGGCAGCCCUCUAUGUAAAAACUGACGUUGAAGGACGAAGGCACAGAGAACAAACGCCCUCUAUGUAAAAACUGACGUUGAAGGACGAAGGCACAGAGAACAAACAGGAUUAGAUACCCAAGUAGUCUUUGCAGUAAAUGAUGAAUGCCAUAGGUAGGAUUAGAUACCCAAGUAGUCUUUGCAGUAAAUGAUGAAUGCCAUAGGUUAGAUUGAUCAAUUAUGGUCUAGGGUUAGUCUAGCAAACUAAUGCCCUGUAGAUUGAUCAAUUAUGGUCUAGGGUUAGUCUAGCAAACUAAUGCCCUGUGCUAUAAUUCAAAAUAUCUGGUCUAUAAAUGAAAGUGUAAGCAUUUCACUGAUAUAAUUCAAAAUAUCUGGUCUAUAAAUGAAAGUGUAAGCAUUUCACCUCAAGAGUAAUGUGGCAACGCAGGAACUGAAAUCACUAGACCGUUUCUGCUCAAGAGUAAUGUGGCAACGCAGGAACUGAAAUCACUAGACCGUUUCUGACACCAGUAGUGAAGUAUGUUAUUUAAUUCGAUGAUCCACACCAGUAGUGAAGUAUGUUAUUUAAUUCGAUGAUCC